This 26-nucleotide non-coding RNA is filed under the name Homo sapiens (human). Lineage: Eukaryota; Metazoa; Chordata; Mammalia; Primates; Hominidae. The record is from RNAcentral.
UCGGACUGAGGAACUGCGUUCAGUGC